This 511-nucleotide ribosomal RNA is filed under the name uncultured bacterium. Its description in RNAcentral is "partial 16S ribosomal RNA". It matches the Rfam family "Bacterial small subunit ribosomal RNA", at positions 355 to 882 of the family's 1533-position model. The record is from RNAcentral.
UGGGGAAUAUUGCACAAUGGGCGAAAGCCUGAUGCAGCAACGCCGCGUGAGUGAUGAAGGCCUUCGGAUUGUAAAGCUCUGUCUUUUGGGACGAUAAUGACGGUACCAAAGGAGGAAGCCACGGCUAACUACGUGCCAGCAGCCGCGGUAAUACGUAGGUGGCGAGCGUUGUCCGGAUUUACUGGGCGUAAAGGGUGCGUAGGCGGAUGUUUAAGUGAGAUGUGAAAUACCCGGGCUUAACUUGGGUGCUGCAUUUCAAACUGGAUAUCUAGAGUGCAGGAGAGGAGAAUGGAAUUCCUAGUGUAGCGGUGAAAUGCGUAGAGAUUAGGAAGAACACCAGUGGCGAAGGCGAUUCUCUGGACUGUAACUGACGCUGAGGCACGAAAGCGUGGGUAGCAAACAGGAUUAGAUACCCUGGUAGUCCACGCCGUAAACGAUGAGUACUAGGUGUAGGAGGUAUCGACCCCUUCUGUGCCGCAGUAAACACAUUAAGUACUCCGCCUGGGAAGUA